This 501-nucleotide ribosomal RNA is filed under the name uncultured bacterium. RNAcentral's name for it is "partial 16S ribosomal RNA". It matches the Rfam family "Bacterial small subunit ribosomal RNA", at positions 30 to 523 of the family's 1533-position model. The record is from RNAcentral.
AUUGAACGCUGGCGGCAGGCUUAACACAUGCAAGUCGAGCGGAGCGAGGGUGCUUGCACCUUAGCUUAGCGGCGGACGGGUGAGUAAUGCUUAGGAAUCUGCCUAUUAGUGGGGGACAACAUUCCGAAAGGGAUGCUAAUACCGCAUACGCCCUACGGGGGAAAGCAGGGGAUCUUCGGACCUUGCGCUAAUAGAUGAGCCUAAGUCGGAUUAGCUAGUUGGUGGGGUAAAGGCCUACCAAGGCGACGAUCUGUAGCGGGUCUGAGAGGAUGGUCCGCCACACUGGGACUGAGACACGGCCCAGACUCCUACGGGAGGCAGCAGUGGGGAAUAUUGGACAAUGGGCGGAAGCCUGAUCCAGCCAUGCCGCGUGUGUGAAGAAGGCCUUUUGGUUGUAAAGCACUUUAAGCGAGGAGGAGGCUACUAGUAUUAAUACUACUGGAUAGUGGACGUUACUCGCAGAAUAAGCACCGGCUAACUCUGUGCCAGCCGCCACCGUAA